GUCGAACGCUGGCGGCGUGCUUAACACAUGCAAGUCGAACGGAAAGGCCCUGCUUGCAGGGUUCUCGAGUGGCGAACGGGUGAGUAACACGUGGGUGAUCUGCCCUGCACUUCGGGAUAAGCCUGGGCAACUGGGUCUAAUACCUGAUAGGUGCCAUUUUUAGUGUGAUGGUUGGAAAGUUUUUUCGGUGUAGGAUGAGCUGGCGGCCUAUCAGCUUGUUGGUGGGGUAAUGGCCUACCAAGGCGGCGACGGGUAGCCGGCCUGAGAGGGUGGACGGCCACAGUGGGACUGAGAUACGGCCCAGACAGCUACGGGAGGCAGCAGUGGGGAAUAUUGCACAAGGAGCGCAGGCCUGAUGCAGCGACGCCGCGUGGGGGAUGACGGCCUUCGGGUUGUAGAAUCCUUGCGCUAGGGACGAAGCUUUUUGUGACGGUACCUAGAGAAGAAGCACCGGCUAACUACGUG
Molecule: ribosomal RNA, 465 nt
Filed under: uncultured bacterium
Lineage: Bacteria
Description: partial 16S ribosomal RNA
Rfam family: Bacterial small subunit ribosomal RNA
Source: RNAcentral